UCCCUGAUAGCUCAGUUGGUAAAGAAUCUGCCUGCAAUGCAGAAGACCCGGGUUCGAUUCCUAGGUCGGGAA
Molecule: transfer RNA, 72 nt
Filed under: Ovis aries (sheep)
Lineage: Eukaryota; Metazoa; Chordata; Mammalia; Artiodactyla; Bovidae
Rfam family: tRNA
About the family: Transfer RNA (tRNA) molecules are approximately 80 nucleotides in length.
Source: Rfam by way of RNAcentral